AGCGAACGCUGGCGGCAGGCCUAAUACAUGCAAGUCGAACGGCAGCACCGUAAGAGCUUGCUCUGAUGGGUGGCGAGUGGCGGACGGGUGCGGAAGACAGCGUAACCUAUUUUUUCGUGGGGGAUAACGCAGGGAUACUUACGCUAAUACCGCAUACGACCUACGGGUGAAAGCAGGUGAUCUUCGCACCUUGUGCGAGUGAACGAGACGAUGCCGCAUUAGCUAGUUGGCGGGGUAAAGGCCCACCAAGGCGACGAUCCGUAGCUGGUCUGAGAGGAUGAUCAGCCACACUGGAACUGAGACACGGUCCAGACUCCUACGGGAGGCAGCAGUAGGGAAUAUUGGACAAUGGGCGCAAGCCUGAUCCAGCCAUACCGCGUGGGUGAAGAAGGCCUUCGGGUUGUAAAGCCCUUUUGUUGGGAAAGAAAAGCAGCAGGUUAAUACCCCGCUGUUCUGACGGUACCCAAAGAAUAAGCACCGGCUAACUUCGUG
This 492-nucleotide ribosomal RNA is filed under the name uncultured bacterium. RNAcentral describes it as "partial 16S ribosomal RNA". It matches the Rfam family "Bacterial small subunit ribosomal RNA", at positions 29 to 507 of the family's 1533-position model. The record is from RNAcentral.